Molecule: long non-coding RNA, 350 nt
Organism: Hippocampus zosterae (dwarf seahorse)
Lineage: Eukaryota; Metazoa; Chordata; Actinopteri; Syngnathiformes; Syngnathidae
Exons: 3
Source: RefSeq, a predicted model, not a curated record
AAUUCCACACUGCAAACCCACACGAGAAUUUUUUUUAAACAUCAGAAAAAAAGUCCGUCAGAACAAUAACAUACCCCGUUCCAGGAAAAAAAAAUACUCAAAUAAAAAAUUGACUCCCCAUGGACUGUGAAAAUAGUGGGGUGUUUUGCAUUUGCCUGGGACGCCCACUUCACUUCCCAAGAACGUAUGGCCAACACGGAGUCGGCAUUCGAGCUGCAGCGUGGACUUGAGAGAAGAAGAGAGCGCAGGUGUGUUGUGAGGAAAAUGAAGUUGAGUUGUCCCGUUGGACUGGAGAAAAGGUAAGGGGAAAGCAAAGCAAAAAAAAAAAAAAAAAAAAAAAAAUUUAAAAA